GACGAACGCUGGCGGCGUGCUUAACACAUGCAAGUCGAACGGAAAGGCCCUGCUUUUGUGGGGUGCUCGAGUGGCGAACGGGUGAGUAACACGUGAGUUACCUGCCCUUGACUUUGGUAUAACUUCAGGAAACUGGGGCUAAUACCGGAUAGGAGCUCCUGCUUCAUGGUGGGGGUUGGACAGUUUCGGCGGUUGGGGAUGGACGCGCGGCUUAUCAGCUUGUUGGUGGGGUAGUGGCUUACCAAGGCUUGGACGGGUAGCCGGCCUGAGAGGGUGACCGGCAAGAUUGGGACUGAGAUACGGCCCAGAAUCGUACGGGAGGCAGCAGUGGGGAAAAUUGCAAAAUGGGCGGAAGCCUGAUGCAGCAACGCCGCGUGCGGGAUGACGGCCUUCGGGUUGUAAACCGCUUUCGCCUGUGAUGAAGCGUGAGUGACGGUAAUGGGUAAAGAAGCACCGGCUAACUACGUG
This 468-nucleotide ribosomal RNA is filed under the name uncultured bacterium. Its description in RNAcentral is "partial 16S ribosomal RNA". It matches the Rfam family "Bacterial small subunit ribosomal RNA", at positions 28 to 507 of the family's 1533-position model. The record is from RNAcentral.